CCUACGGGUGGCUGCAGUGGGGAAUAUUGGGCAAUGGGGGCAACCCUGACCCAGCGACGCCGCGUGAGGGAAGACGGCCUUCGGGUUGUAAACCUCUUUUGUACGGGAAGAAGGACGUGACGGUACCGUGCGAAUAAGUCCCGGCUAACUACGUGCCAGCAGCCGCGGUAAUACGUAGGGGACGAGCGUUGUCCGGAAUUACUGGGCGUAAAGGGCGCGCAGGCUGUAGAUCAAGUCAGCUGUGAAAUGUCUGGGCUUAACCCGGGCAUGCGGUUGAAACUGAUGUACUGGAGUGCUGUAGAGGCAAGUGGAAUUCCCAGUGUAGCGGUGAAAUGCGUAGAUAUUGGGAAGAACACCGGUGGCGAAGGCGACUUGCUGGGCAGCAACUGACGCUGAGGCGCGAAAGCCAGGGGAGCAAACGGGCUUAGAUACCCUGGUAGUC
RNAcentral lists this ribosomal RNA (442 nucleotides) under uncultured Synergistaceae bacterium. Its description in RNAcentral is "bacterial SSU rRNA". It matches the Rfam family "Bacterial small subunit ribosomal RNA", at positions 338 to 795 of the family's 1533-position model. The record is from RNAcentral. Lineage: Bacteria; Thermotogati; Synergistota; Synergistia; Synergistales; Synergistaceae.